This 253-nucleotide ribosomal RNA is filed under the name uncultured bacterium. RNAcentral describes it as "partial 16S ribosomal RNA". It matches the Rfam family "Bacterial small subunit ribosomal RNA", at positions 524 to 776 of the family's 1533-position model. The record is from RNAcentral.
UACGGAGGGGGCUAGCGUUGUUCGGAAUUACUGGGCGUAAAGUGCGCGUAGGCGGACCUGCAAGUCGGGGGUCAAAGCCCGAGGCUCAACCUCGGAACUGCCUUCGAUACUGCGGGUCUCGAGUCCGGGAGAGGUGAGUGGAAUUCCUAGUGUAGAGGUGAAAUUCGUAGAUAUUAUGAAGACCUCCAGUGGCGAAGGCGGCUCACUGCCCCGGUACUGACACUGAGGUGCGAAAGCGUGGGGAGCAAACAGG